Molecule: ribosomal RNA, 334 nt
Filed under: uncultured Pneumocystis
Lineage: Eukaryota; Fungi; Ascomycota; Pneumocystomycetes; Pneumocystales; Pneumocystaceae
Description: SSU rRNA
Rfam family: Bacterial small subunit ribosomal RNA
Source: RNAcentral
GCAUGUUGUUUAAUUCGAUAACCCACGACAAACCUUACCACUUCUUGUAUAUUAAUAAAACUUAAUACAGGUGUUGCAUGGCUGUCUUUAGUUCGUGUUGUGAAAUGUUAGGUUUAUUCCGAUAACGAACGCAAUCCUUUUCUUUAUUUAAAAAAUUAAAAUAUAAAGAUAGAUCUAUUAACAAGAUAGAGUAAUUAGGAUGAAGACAAGUCCUCAUGACCCUUAUGAAGUGGGCUACAGACGUGCCACAAAAUUUUCUACAAUAGGAUGCAAAAAUUAAAAUUGGAGCUAAUCCCUGAAAAGAUUAUUCAGUACGAAUAAGAAUCUGAAACUC